Long non-coding RNA from Bombus impatiens (common eastern bumble bee), 1435 nucleotides. RefSeq lists it as uncharacterized. The record is from RefSeq and is a predicted model, not a curated record. Lineage: Eukaryota; Metazoa; Arthropoda; Insecta; Hymenoptera; Apidae. The transcript has 2 exons.
CUCUGCUCUUCACCAUUUUGCUGCCAACGGCGCAACUUACACUACCGUAUAAACCGCACUUGCGCCCCAUCCUCUCUUCUUUUCAUUCAACCAUAAAAAUUUGAUUUUACGUCUUUCAAAUAUUUCGAUGAUCGUUUCUAAUGAAUAUUUAAACUAUAUUUACUUUAAUUCAUAUAACAUGCACUUUUGUAAGACUAAAAUAACUUUUUGUUAUGUAUGUAUUUGUUAUUACAAAACCGACGUCCAUCUUUAUUGAAAUAUUAAUUAUACUUCAAAUACGUUGAAUUCAAACGACAAAAAAGUAACGAAAUAUGAAGUUGUCUCACUUACAAGAGACAGUUAUUUUAAUAAUUUAAUGUAUAUUAAUUAUAAUAACAUAUAUUUAAUUUUGUAAUAAUUAAAUAUGACGUUCCCGAAUGUACUUUUUCUCGAUUACAUUUACAACUUUAUUACUAAUUUUAUCAUACAUUAUUUUAUUUCUUCGCGCAGCAUAUUAUUGGGUGUUCAUUUUCUAUCUACGAUACUGGUUUCAGUAAAAUGUACGGAACCAUUGGUCAAAUCAAUAUGCGCGCGCAUGUCGAUAUGUACUCCAUAUUAGGGGGAAAGAUAUUAAUUCGUUAAAUCUGGUUAAAUAUAGAAAAUGUACAAACACUUCACCUUAAGAAAGAGCCAUAAAAUAUUUGUUAUAUAUUUAUUGUAUAAAUCAUAUCGUUUAAAAUGAAAUAAUAUGAAAUUAAAUAAAAAGUAAUUUUACAUGGAGACUUUAGAACGCCAUCUAGAUGGCCCUGAAUUAAUGAAUCAAUAAUAGCGCCCUCUUUACAAUAGACUUGCAAAUUGAAAAUAUCUAAAUUAGGGGAAACCUUUGAAAUAGGUUCAAAAACUACAGAAAUUACAAAAUUCUCAAGAACUUAGUAAUUAAUCUGUACAAUAUUUUAUAUAAGUUCUAUUCAAUUUAUUUUACUCCUUCCAAUAGCCUCAAAGAAGGUAAAUUAUUGCUAAUUAAAAUUACUGGACAGUUUUAAUAUAAAACUUCAAAACGUUUUGAUAUUCUUUGCUAGUUUUAUUUUUGUAUUAAGUACAAUGAAAUAAUAGAAAUAUGAGAUAGAAGUUUUCAUUACAUGAAGAUACAUGAUCUACAAAUAAUAUUAAAUAAUAUUGAGUGUACAUAUGUGUGUGGUAAGAUAAACAUUGAUACAUUACAUUAUGUUAACAAUUAUUGAAUUAAUUUCCUUUUCUAAUGAAAAAUAUGUGUAAAGAUAAGUCAAAUGGGAAAUUCGUUAAGCAAAUGAAUAUCUACAGAUAUGGAGUAUAUAUACUUUCUUUAUGAAAAGAAUAAAAAAGAAUAAAAACAAGAAAUAUAAGGAAUUAUUUGAUAAGGAAAACAAUUUUACAUCAAUUAUUUAAUAGAUAAGCAAAUAAUGAAACCAUUAUAACU